RNAcentral lists this ribosomal RNA (109 nucleotides) under uncultured bacterium. RNAcentral describes it as "partial 16S ribosomal RNA". It matches the Rfam family "Bacterial small subunit ribosomal RNA", at positions 245 to 354 of the family's 1533-position model. The record is from RNAcentral.
GUGUUGGCGGGGUAACGGCCCACCAAGCCGACGAUCAGUAGCCGACCUGAGAGGGUGACCGGCCACAUUGGGACUGAGACACGGCCCAAACUCCUACGGGAGGCAGCAG